CCUACGGGCGGCAGCAGUGAGGAAUAUUGGUCAAUGGGCGCGAGCCUGAACCAGCCAAGUAGCGUGAAGGAUGACUGCCCUACGGAUUGUAAACUUCUUUUAUAAAGGAAUAAAGUGAGGCACGUGUGCCUUUUUGUAUGUACCUUAUGAAUAAGGAUCGGCUAACUCCGUGCCAGCAGCCGCGUGAAUACGGAGGAGACGAGCGUUAUCCGGAUUUAUUGGGUUUAAAGGGAGCGUAGAUGGGUUGUUAAGUCAGUUGUGAAAGUUUGCGGAUCAACCGUAAAAUUGCAAUUGAUACUGGCAGCCUUGAGUACAGGUGAGGUAGGCGGAAUUCGUGGUGUAGCGGUGAAAUGCUUAGAUAUCACGAAGAACUCCGAUUGCGAAGGCAGCUUACUAAACUGCCACUGACAUUGAUGCUCGAAAGUGUGGGUAUCAAACAGGAUUAGAUACCCUUGUAGUC
RNAcentral lists this ribosomal RNA (460 nucleotides) under uncultured bacterium. RNAcentral describes it as "partial 16S ribosomal RNA". It matches the Rfam family "Bacterial small subunit ribosomal RNA", at positions 338 to 795 of the family's 1533-position model. The record is from RNAcentral.